CCUACGGGAGGCAGCAGUCGGGAAUAUUGCGCAAUGGAGGGAACUCUGACGCAGUGACGCCGCGUAUAGGAAGAAGGUUUUCGGAUUGUAAACUAUUGUCGUUAGGGAAGAAAAAAGACAGUACCUAAGGAGGAAGCCCCGGCUAACUAUGUGCCAGCAGCCGCGGUAAU
RNAcentral lists this ribosomal RNA (170 nucleotides) under uncultured bacterium. RNAcentral describes it as "partial 16S ribosomal RNA". It matches the Rfam family "Bacterial small subunit ribosomal RNA", at positions 338 to 524 of the family's 1533-position model. The record is from RNAcentral.